This 967-nucleotide ribosomal RNA is filed under the name Lactiplantibacillus pentosus. RNAcentral describes it as "bacterial SSU rRNA". It matches the Rfam family "Bacterial small subunit ribosomal RNA", at positions 44 to 976 of the family's 1533-position model. Lineage: Bacteria; Bacillati; Bacillota; Bacilli; Lactobacillales; Lactobacillaceae. The record is from RNAcentral.
CUGCCUAAUACAUGCAAGUCGAACGAACUCUGGUAUUGAUUGGUGCUUGCAUCAUGAUUUACAUUUGAGUGAGUGGCGAACUGGUGAGUAACACGUGGGAAACCUGCCCAGAAGCGGGGGAUAACACCUGGAAACAGAUGCUAAUACCGCAUAACAACUUGGACCGCAUGGUCCGAGUUUGAAAGAUGGCUUCGGCUAUCACUUUUGGAUGGUCCCGCGGCGUAUUAGCUAGAUGGUGGGGUAACGGCUCACCAUGGCAAUGAUACGUAGCCGACCUGAGAGGGUAAUCGGCCACAUUGGGACUGAGACACGGCCCAAACUCCUACGGGAGGCAGCAGUAGGGAAUCUUCCACAAUGGACGAAAGUCUGAUGGAGCAACGCCGCGUGAGUGAAGAAGGGUUUCGGCUCGUAAAACUCUGUUGUUAAAGAAGAACAUAUCUGAGAGUAACUGUUCAGGUAUUGACGGUAUUUAACCAGAAAGCCACGGCUAACUACGUGCCAGCAGCCGCGGUAAUACGUAGGUGGCAAGCGUUGUCCGGAUUUAUUGGGCGUAAAGCGAGCGCAGGCGGUUUUUUAAGUCUGAUGUGAAAGCCUUCGGCUCAACCGAAGAAGUGCAUCGGAAACUGGGAAACUUGAGUGCAGAAGAGGACAGUGGAACUCCAUGUGUAGCGGUGAAAUGCGUAGAUAUAUGGAAGAACACCAGUGGCGAAGGCGGCUGUCUGGUCUGUAACUGACGCUGAGGCUCGAAAGUAUGGGUAGCAAACAGGAUUAGAUACCCUGGUAGUCCAUACCGUAAACGAUGAAUGCUAAGUGUUGGAGGGUUUCCGCCCUUCAGUGCUGCAGCUAACGCAUUAAGCAUUCCGCCUGGGGAGUACGGCCGCAAGGCUGAACUCAAAGGAUUUGACGGGGGCCCGCACAAGCGGUGGAGCAUGUGGUUUAAUUCGAAGCUACGCGAAGAACCUUACCA